AGGGUCAUAGCUCAGUGGUAGAGCAUCUGCUUUGCGUGCAGAAUGUCUCAAUUUGAACCCU
RNAcentral lists this transfer RNA (61 nucleotides) under Podarcis lilfordi (Lilford's wall lizard). It matches the Rfam family "tRNA". From Rfam's summary of the family: Transfer RNA (tRNA) molecules are approximately 80 nucleotides in length. The record is from Rfam by way of RNAcentral. Lineage: Eukaryota; Metazoa; Chordata; Lepidosauria; Squamata; Lacertidae.